AUACAGAGGGUGCAAGCGUUAAUCGGAUUUACUGGGCGUAAAGCGCGCGUAGGCGGCUAAUUAAGUCAAAUGUGAAAUCCCCGAGCUUAACUUGGGAAUUGCAUUCGAUACUGGUUAGCUAGAGUGUGGGAGAGGAUGGUAGAAUUCCAGGUGUAGCGGUGAAAUGCGUAGAGAUCUGGAGGAAUACCGAUGGCGAAGGCAGCCAUCUGGCCUAACACUGACGCUGAGGUGCGAAAGCAUGGGGAGCAAACAGGAUUAGAUACCCCAGUAGUCC
Molecule: ribosomal RNA, 274 nt
Filed under: uncultured bacterium
Lineage: Bacteria
Description: partial 16S ribosomal RNA
Rfam family: Bacterial small subunit ribosomal RNA
Source: RNAcentral